RNAcentral lists this long non-coding RNA (522 nucleotides) under Ananas comosus (pineapple). RNAcentral describes it as "long non-coding RNA (ACOM_LNC031829)". The record is from RNAcentral. Lineage: Eukaryota; Viridiplantae; Streptophyta; Magnoliopsida; Poales; Bromeliaceae.
AGAGUAAGACUAACAAUUCGGCUCGUUGUUCGUGAAUCAGUUUAUAUGUAAAUUUGAGAUCGAUCGCUCGUUUAAUAAAUGAGUCGAAAUUAUGAUAUGAGACAAGUUCAUUCCUGUUUAACUCGAUAUCGCUCUAAUAUAUAUAUAAAAUAAAUUUUUAACCAAAAAAUGGGAAGAAACUUAUAUUAUAUAAAUUUUAAUUAUUAAAUUAAGAUUCUAAUUUUUUAUUUUUUUAAAUUUUUUAUCAAGUAGUAAUGCUACGAAUUUAGCUUGUUGUUCGUGAGCUAAUUCGUGUUUGACUUAUUAAUGAACAAGCUGAAUACAAGUUAAAUUUUUUAACAUGAUAUUUCAACUGACUUGUUCAUGUUCGAAUCUUUUCUUUAUUUAUUUAUUUUUUUUGAGACAUAGAUAGCACGCUACCCGCUUCGUUUAUUUCAUUCAGAAAUAAACUUAGCUGGAAAUAUGAAUCAACUAGAAUUCGAAAUUGGAUCUCGGGUGCACUGAGUGCAGGUAAUAUUUGGG